This 353-nucleotide unclassified non-coding RNA is filed under the name soil metagenome. RNAcentral's name for it is "partial contains 5.8S ribosomal RNA, internal transcribed spacer 2, and large subunit ribosomal RNA". The stretch from base 1 to 120 matches the Rfam family "5.8S ribosomal RNA", at positions 35 to 154 of the family's 154-position model. The record is from RNAcentral.
GAUGAAGAACGUAGCGAAAUGCGAUAAGUAAUGUGAAUUGCAGAAUUCAGUGAAUCAUCGAAUCUUUGAACGCACAUUGCGCCCGCCAGUAUUCUGGCGGGCAUGCCUGUUCGAGCGUCAUUACAACCCUCAGGCCCCCGGGCCUGGCGUUGGGGAUCGGCGGAAGCCCCCUGCGGGCACAACGCCGUCCCCCAAAUACAGUGGCGGUCCCGCCGCAGCUUCCAUCGCGUAGUAGCUAACACCUCGCAACUGGAGAGCGGCGCGGCCACGCCGUAAAACACCCAACUUCUGAAUGUUGACCUCGAAUCAGGUAGGAAUACCCGCUGAACUUAAGCAUAUCAAUAAGCGGAGGA